GAGCUUGUCUGGGUAAUCGAGAACUGCUAAUUCCUCGUUACCACGGUUCAAUUCCGUGGCCUGCUCG
RNAcentral lists this transfer RNA (67 nucleotides) under Microhyla butleri. RNAcentral describes it as "tRNA-Ser". The record is from RNAcentral. Lineage: Eukaryota; Metazoa; Chordata; Amphibia; Anura; Microhylidae.